UGCAGCUGUUGACUGGAAUUCAGAGGCUGCCAAGGUCUGUCCUGGUGUCACGUCCACUGGAGCCAGAGGAUGCAGCCCCAUCUUGCUGGCCUCUAGAAACGGCAUGAGGACCGCUGCAGUCACCAAUCACCUCAGCUGUGGUUGUCAGCAUAAGACCUGCGCAAGACCAAGCCAGCCAGCAUUCCAGCGUGGAGCGGGACAGGACCCGUGAGCCCCUACCUCUAACUGAGAAGCUAUCGACAGUACAUGGGUUCUGGGGUAGAGAGAGCCAGUUUUCUCCAAGGAUGUAGCCCCAGGUACGACAUAAAAGGCUGCUUCAUAGCAGGUGACUAUGAUUUGCCUUGUGCUCCAGCAGGGAUGUGGUUUUACCAGCUGCACAUAGUUUCUUCAAGUGGCAGGUAGACAAGAGUGUUAGGAGGCAGAUUAGAGGGACAUACCUCUUUCUGGAUCACUGGGAGCAUACAUUGUCAGAGAGCACUGUUAAACAUGGUUGGAGCACGGCUCAUGUCAACGGCCUUUCCCUUAUACCUGGCAGCCACCAGCAGGGAGCCAUGAGCAAGCGCACCCUAUAUUGACUACCAGCCAAAUUGCCCUCGUGACACCCAGGCUGCUGUGGACACUCUAGAGUCACUUUGGGGUCACUUCUGCAGCUGCAGAAGACCACCACUCCCUCUGCUGAAGACACACUUCAGACAGAGUAGCCUUGGAAACAGCAUUCAAAGCAAGAUGGGCCUCAGAAAAGUCUAAAUGGCCAUUUCACCCUGGCCAGAGGAGGGGCCCUUUCCCUAGUGACCCAGCAAAGGCCUCUGACUGGUGCAAACACAGUCCUUCAUUUGCAUGAGGGAUUGCAUGUGCCAUGGUUGGCACCAACGCCUUGCCACACCCUCUUCUGGCUCUAUAAGCAGGCCAUUCACUCUUGUAGCCGGCCAGGAAACACUCUCUUUUGCAUACCCUGAUGUACAAUUUUAGGCCUAAUAAAAGGUUUGUCUAGGGGGCUGGAGAGAUGGCUCAGCAGUUAAGAGUGCCGACUGCUCUUCUGAAGGUCGUGGGUUCAAAUCC
This is a long non-coding RNA of Mus musculus (house mouse), 1059 nucleotides long. RefSeq annotates it as predicted gene, 30020. The transcript has 5 exons. The record is from RefSeq and is a predicted model, not a curated record. NCBI's taxonomy places the organism in Eukaryota, Metazoa, Chordata, Mammalia, Rodentia, Muridae.